RNAcentral lists this ribosomal RNA (596 nucleotides) under uncultured fungus. RNAcentral describes it as "bacterial SSU rRNA". It matches the Rfam family "Eukaryotic small subunit ribosomal RNA", at positions 944 to 1557 of the family's 1831-position model. Lineage: Eukaryota; Fungi. The record is from RNAcentral.
GGGGCAAGCAUUUGCCAAGGAUGUGAUCGUUAAUCGGUGAAGGGAAGGUUGAAAGAUAGAAGACGAUCUAAUACGGUCGUAGUUUUAUCCAUAAAAUAUGGAGUCAAGCGAUUCGGAGGUGUUAAUAUUUUGCCCCCGUUCGGCACUGUAACGAGAAAUCAAAGUUAUUGGGUUAUGGGGGGAGGUGGGUCGAAUGGCUGAAACUUAAGGAGUUUGGCGGAAAGGCGCCUCCAGGAGUGGAGCCUGCGGAUUAAUUGGCUUCGACGCGGGGAGACUCAACAGGUCCAGACACAAUAGGGAGGCCAGAUGGAGAGCACAUUCCCGAUAUUGUGAGUAGUGGUGCAUGGCCGUUAUUAGUUGGUGGAAUUAUUAGUCAGAUCCAAUGUGAUAACGGACGAGACUGAAACCUGCUUGAUAGCCAGAUCUCGUUUUGUUGGAUCCCCUGCUUCUUAGAGGGACUAUAGCCUCAAGCCGAUGGAAGUUUGAGGCAAUAACUGGUCUGUGAUGCUCAUUACAAGUUCUGGGCCGCGCGCGCCCUACACCGACAGAGCGCGCGAGUUCAUUUCCUUAGCUGAAAGGUUCGCGAACGCUGGUAA